UGCAUUCACGACUGUAAGUCGCUCUGGAUAAGAGUGUCUGCUAAAUGACUCAAA
Salmo salar (Atlantic salmon) is the source of this 54-nucleotide non-coding RNA. The record is from Rfam. Lineage: Eukaryota; Metazoa; Chordata; Actinopteri; Salmoniformes; Salmonidae.